Molecule: ribosomal RNA, 207 nt
Filed under: uncultured bacterium
Lineage: Bacteria
Description: partial 16S ribosomal RNA
Rfam family: Bacterial small subunit ribosomal RNA
Source: RNAcentral
CACGUAGGCGGUGAUUUAAGUCAGAGGUGAAAGCCCGGGGCUCAACCCCGGAAUAGCCUUUGAGACUGGAUCGCUAGAAUCUUGGAGAGGCGAGUGGAAUUCCGAGUGUAGAGGUGAAAUUCGUAGAUAUUCGGAAGAACACCAGUGGCGAAGGCGGCUCGCUGGACAAGUAUUGACGCUGAAGCACGAAAGCGUGGGGAGCAAACA